GACGAACGCUGGCGGCGUGCUUAACACAUGCAAGUCGAACGGAAAGGCCCUGCUUUCGUGGGGUGCUCGAGUGGCGAACGGGUGAGUAACACGUGAGUAGCCUGCCCUUGACUUUGGGAUAACUUCAGGAAACUGGGGCUAAUACCGGAUAGGAGCUCCUGCUGCAUGGUGGGGGUUGGAAAGUUUCGGCGGUUGGGGAUGGACUCGCGGCUUAUCAGCUUGUUGGUGGGGUCGUGGCUUACCAAGGCUUUGACGGGUAGCCGGCCUGAGAGGGUGACCGGCCACAUUGGGACUGAGAUACGGCCCAGACUCCUACGGGGGGCAGCAGUGGGGGAUAUUGCACAAUGGGCGGAAGCCUGAUGCAGCAACGCCGCGUGCGGGAUGACGGCCUUCGGGUUGUAAACCGCUUUCGCCUGUGACGAAGCGUGAGUGACGGUAAUGGGUAAAGAAGCACCGGCUAACUACGUG
Molecule: ribosomal RNA, 468 nt
Filed under: uncultured bacterium
Lineage: Bacteria
Description: partial 16S ribosomal RNA
Rfam family: Bacterial small subunit ribosomal RNA
Source: RNAcentral